This 553-nucleotide ribosomal RNA is filed under the name Acrobeloides sp. TKb25. RNAcentral describes it as "SSU rRNA". It matches the Rfam family "Eukaryotic small subunit ribosomal RNA", at positions 1078 to 1655 of the family's 1831-position model. The record is from RNAcentral. Lineage: Eukaryota; Metazoa; Nematoda; Chromadorea; Rhabditida; Cephalobidae.
GGUGGGUAGCUUCCCGGAAACGAAAGUCUUCCGGUUCCGGGGGAAGUAUGGUUGCAAAGCUGAAACUUAAAGGAAUUGACGGAAGGGCACCACCAGGAGUGGAGCCUGCGGCUUAAUUUGACUCAACACGGGGAAACUCACCCGGCCCGGACACCGUAAGGAUUGACAGAUUGAUAGCUCUUUCAUGAUUCGGUGGUUGGUGGUGCAUGGCCGUUCUUAGUUCGUGGAUCGAUUUGUCUGGUUUAUUCCGAUAACGAGCGAGACUCUAGCCUACUAAAUAGUAACGAGAUUAUCAAUGUCUCAGUUGCUUCUUAGAGGGAUUUUCGGUGUUUAGCCGCACGAGAUUGAGCAAUAACAGGUCUGUGAUGCCCUUAGAUGUCCGGGGCUGCACGCGCGCUACACUGGCGAAAUCAGCGUGCUGUAUCCAUUCUCGAAAGGGAUUGGUAAACCCAUGAAAAUUUGCCGUGCUUGGGAUCGGAAAUUGCAAUUAUUUUCCGUGAACGAGGAAUUCCAAGUAAGUGCGAGUCAUCAACUCGCUCUGAUUACGUCCCUG